UGAAUACGAGACGCUAAGGCGUCGAAGUAGUGUAUGUCAUACUUCCAAGAAAAGCUUGCACUGUCAUAGAUAAAAAACGCCUGUACCAUAACCGACACAGGUGGGUAGGUAGAGUAUACUAAGGGGCGCGAGAUAACUCUCUCUAAGGAACUCGGCAAAAUAACUCCGUAACUUCGGGAGAAGGAGUGCCUUAUUCGUAAGGUUGCAAUAACAAGAUCCAAGCAACUGUUUAUCAAAAACACAGGUCUCCGCUAAGUCGUAAGACGAUGUAUGGGGGCUGACGCCUGCCCAGUGCCAGAAGGUUAAAGAAGUUGGUUAGCAAUUGCGAAGCUGAUAACUGAAGCCCUGGUGAACGGCGGCCGUAACAAUAACGGUCCUAAGGUAGCGAAAUUCCUUGUCGGGUAAGUUCCGACCCGCACGAAAGGCGUAAUGAUUUGGAUACUGUCUCGGAGAGGGGCUCGGUGAAAUAGACUUGUCUGUGAAGAUGCGGACUACCUGCACCAGGACAGAAAGACCCUAUGAAGCUUUACUGUAACUUGAAAUUGAAAUUGGACUUUAUUCGCGCAGUAUAGGUGGGAGGCGUUGAUUAUAAUCUUGUGGGAUUAUUGGAGCCAUCAGUGAGAUACCACUCUUGUAAUGUUAGAUUUCUAACUUUGAAUCAUUAUCUGGUCAAAGAACAGUUUCAGGCGGGCAGUUUGACUGGGGCGGUCGCCUCCUAAACGGUAACGGAGGCGUACAAAGGUUUCCUCUGAACGGUUAGAAAUCGUAUCUAGAGUGUAAAGGCAUAAGGAAGCUUGACUGUGAGACCUACAAGUCGAGCAGGGACGAAAGUCGGUCUUAGUGAUCUGACGGUACUGAGUGGAAAGGCCGUCACUCAACGGAUAAAAGUUACUCUAGGAUAACAGGCUGAUCUCCCCCAAGAGUUCACAUCGACGGGGAGGUUUGGCACCUCGAUGUCGGCUCAUCGCAUCCUGGGGCGGUAGUACGUCCCAAGGGUUGGGCUGUUCGCCCAUGAAAGCGGUACGCGAGCUGGGUUCAGAACGUCGUGAGACAGUUCGGUCCAUAUCCGGUGUAGGCGUUAGAAUAUUGAGAGGAGCCUUCUUUAGUACGAGAGGACCGAGAAGGACAUACCUCUGGUGUACCAGUUAUCGUGCCAACGGUAAACGCUGGGUAGCUAUGUAUGGAGUGGAUAACCGCUGAAAGCAUCUAAGUGGGAAGCCCACCUCAAGAUAAGUAUUCUCAC
RNAcentral lists this ribosomal RNA (1243 nucleotides) under metagenome. Its description in RNAcentral is "bacterial LSU rRNA". It matches the Rfam family "Bacterial large subunit ribosomal RNA", at positions 1564 to 2817 of the family's 2925-position model. The record is from RNAcentral.